GACGAACGCUGGCGGCGUGCCUAACACAUGCAAGUCGAGCGAGUGAAUCUCCUUCGGGGGUGAAGCUAGCGGCGGACGGGUGAGUAACACGUGGGCAACCUGCCUCAUAGAGGGGAAUAGCCUUUCGAAAGGAAGAUUAAUACCGCAUAAGAUUGUAGCUUCGCAUGAAGUAGCAAUUAAAGGAGCAAUCCGCUAUGAGAUGGGCCCGCGGCGCAUUAGCUAGUUGGUGAGGUAACGGCUCACCAAGGCGACGAUGCGUAGCCGACCUGAGAGGGUGAUCGGCCACAUUGGGACUGAGACACGGCCCAGACUCCUACGGGAGGCAGCAGUGGGGAAUAUUGCACAAUGGGGGAAACCCUGAUGCAGCAACGCCGCGUGAGUGAUGACGGCCUUCGGGUUGUAAAGCUCUGUCUUCAGGGACGAUAAUGACGGUACCUGAGGAGGAAGCCACGGCUAACUACGUG
This 464-nucleotide ribosomal RNA is filed under the name uncultured Bacillota bacterium. RNAcentral describes it as "bacterial SSU rRNA". It matches the Rfam family "Bacterial small subunit ribosomal RNA", at positions 28 to 507 of the family's 1533-position model. The record is from RNAcentral. Lineage: Bacteria; Bacillati; Bacillota.